Molecule: ribosomal RNA, 253 nt
Filed under: uncultured bacterium
Lineage: Bacteria
Description: partial 16S ribosomal RNA
Rfam family: Bacterial small subunit ribosomal RNA
Source: RNAcentral
UACGUAGGGUGCAAGCGUUGUCCGGAAUUAUUGGGCGUAAAGAGCUUGUAGGCGGUUUGUCGCGUCUGCUGUGAAAUCUCAAGGCUCAACCUUGAGCUUGCAGUGGGUACGGGCAGACUAGAGUGUGGUAGGGGAGACUGGAAUUCCUGGUGUAGCGGUGAAAUGCGCAGAUAUCAGGAGGAACACCGAUGGCGAAGGCAGGUCUCUGGACAGUUCCUGACACUGAGGCACGAAGGCCAGGGGAGCAAACGGG